UACAAGUCCGCCUUGUGCGGCAAC
Molecule: ribosomal RNA, 24 nt
Filed under: Verticillium tricorpus
Lineage: Eukaryota; Fungi; Ascomycota; Sordariomycetes; Glomerellales; Plectosphaerellaceae
Description: partial 28S ribosomal RNA
Source: RNAcentral